This is a non-coding RNA of Gossypium raimondii (Peruvian cotton), 107 nucleotides long. NCBI's taxonomy places the organism in Eukaryota, Viridiplantae, Streptophyta, Magnoliopsida, Malvales, Malvaceae. The record is from Rfam.
AACCUAUGGUGAGGGCAUCGUCUUAAUAAGUCAUUAUACCUCUACCCUACAUCAUAUAAGGUUUCUAAGUCAAUCUGAGCGAAGGAAGAGAUAUCAUUCCUCAACUU